CUACGUGCCAGCAGCCGCGGUAAUACGUAGGGUGCGAGCGUUAAUCGGAAUUACUGGGCGUAAAGCGGGCGCAGACGGUUACUUAAGCAGGAUGUGAAAUCCCCGGGCUCAACCUGGGAACUGCGUUCUGAACUGGGUGACUAGAGUGUGUCAGAGGGAGGUAGAAUUCCACGUGUAGCAGUGAAAUGCGUAGAGAUGUGGAGGAAUACCGAUGGCGAAGGCAGCCUCCUGGGAUAACACUGACGUUCAUGCCCGAAAGCGUGGGUAGCAAACAGGAUUAGAUACCCUGGUAGUCCGCGCCCUAAACGAUGUCGAUUAGCUGUUGGGCAGCAUGACUGCUUAGUAGCGAAGCUAACGCGUGAAAUCGACCGCCUGGGGAGUACGGUCGCAAGAUUAAAACUCAAAGGAAUUGACGGGGACCCGCACAAGCGGUGGAUGAUGUGGAUUAAUUCGAUGCAACGCGAAGAACCUUACCUGGUCUUGACAU
This 487-nucleotide ribosomal RNA is filed under the name uncultured bacterium. Its description in RNAcentral is "bacterial SSU rRNA". It matches the Rfam family "Bacterial small subunit ribosomal RNA", at positions 501 to 987 of the family's 1533-position model. The record is from RNAcentral.